AACGAACGCUGGCGGCAGGCCUAACACAUGCAAGUCGAACGGAUCCUUCGGGAUUAGUGGCAGACGGGUGAGUAACGCGUGGGAAGCUACCUUGUGGUAGGGAACAACAGUUGGAAACGACUGCUAAUACCCUAUGAGCCCUAUGGGGGAAAGAUUUAUCGCCAUGAGAUGUGCCCGCGUUAGAUUAGCUAGUUGGUAAGGUAAUGGCUUACCAAGGCGACGAUCUAUAGCUGGUCUGAGAGGAUGAUCAGCCACACUGGGACUGAGACACGGCCCAGACUCCUACGGGAGGCAGCAGUGGGGAAUAUUGGACAAUGGGGGCAACCCUGAUCCAGCCAUGCCGCGUGUGUGAUGACGGCCUUAGGGUUGUAAAGCACUUUCAGCAGUGAAGAUAAUGACAUUAACUGCAGAAGAAGCCCCGGCUAACUUCGUGCCAGCAGCCGCGGUAAUACGAAGGGGGCUAGCGUUGUUCGGAAUCACUGGGCGUAAAGCGUACGUAGGCGGACUGAUCAGUCAGGGGUGAAAUCCCGGGGCUCAACCCCGGAACUGCCUUUGAUACUGUCAGUCUUGAGAUCGAGAGAGGUGAGUGGAACUCCGAGUGUAGAGGUGAAAUUCGUAGAUAUUCGGAAGAACACCAGUGGCGAAGGCGGCUCACUGGCUCGAUAC
This 666-nucleotide ribosomal RNA is filed under the name Pseudovibrio denitrificans. RNAcentral describes it as "bacterial SSU rRNA". It matches the Rfam family "Bacterial small subunit ribosomal RNA", at positions 28 to 740 of the family's 1533-position model. Lineage: Bacteria; Pseudomonadati; Pseudomonadota; Alphaproteobacteria; Hyphomicrobiales; Stappiaceae. The record is from RNAcentral.